GGAGUUUUCUUAUUCCUGGAGCAAGCCU
RNAcentral lists this non-coding RNA (28 nucleotides) under Rattus norvegicus (Norway rat). Lineage: Eukaryota; Metazoa; Chordata; Mammalia; Rodentia; Muridae. The record is from RNAcentral.